AGUGAACGCUGGCGGUAGGCCUAACACAUGCAAGUCGAACGGCAGCACAGCAAGAGCUUGCUCUUACGGGUGGCGAGUGGCGGACGGGUGAGGAAUACAUCGGAAUCUACUUUUUCGUGGGGGAUAACGUAGGGAAACUUACGCUAAUACCGCAUACGACCUACGGGUGAAAGCAGGGGAUCUUCGGACCUUGCGCGAUUGAAUGAGCCGAUGUCGGAUUAGCUAGUUGGCGGGGUAAAGGCCCACCAAGGCGACGAUCCGUAGCUGGUCUGAGAGGAUGAUCAGCCCCACUGGAACUGAGACACGGUCCAGACUCCUACGGGAGGCAGCAGUGGGGAAUAUUGGACAAUGGGCGCAAGCCUGAUCCAGCCAUACCGCGUGGGUGAAGAAGGCCUUCGGGUUGUAAAGCCCUUUUGUUGGGAAAGAAAAGCAGCAGGUUAAUACCCCGCUGUUCUGACGGUACCCAAAGAAUAAGCACCGGCUAACUUCGUG
Molecule: ribosomal RNA, 492 nt
Filed under: uncultured bacterium
Lineage: Bacteria
Description: partial 16S ribosomal RNA
Rfam family: Bacterial small subunit ribosomal RNA
Source: RNAcentral